Molecule: long non-coding RNA, 691 nt
Organism: Salvelinus sp. IW2-2015
Lineage: Eukaryota; Metazoa; Chordata; Actinopteri; Salmoniformes; Salmonidae
Source: RefSeq, a predicted model, not a curated record
GUGAACGGGCAAGACAAAAGAUUGAAGUAAAGGUGUUAUGGCGGAACCUGCAACAAAAGGGAUAUUUGCAACACCAGCAGGUGUCUCACAAACAAAAUUGUGAUGAACAGGACUUCGGGAAUCCUCCUGUCUCUGAGGGGUUGGAGACUGAAUACAUUAAUGGAUGAGUGUGGUCAAUCCAAAAACUAUUCCCCCACUCACAUUUCUUGACACUGGGGCUGAGGACAGAGGGGAAUUGUAUGGAGCGUACUGCUUGCUACUACCAGAGCUUUGUUUCCUCAAUGUGGCUGACAAUAAGGUGACCCUGUAUUGUUGACUUACUUCCUCCAGGAAAGGCUGAGUAUUAGAAUUGGGUGCAAGAAGACAUCGGGGGCUGGUUUCCAAGACCCAGAUUAAGCCUUGACUAAAACCAUCCUCAAUAGAGAAUAGCCAUUGUAAAUACUUUUUUGUCCAGGACUAGGAUUUCUGUGUCUAGGAAACUGAUGCCAGAAGUUGUGAAAUCCCCUUUUGAUAUUAUGUAUUGAUUCCAAACGAAAGGUUCAAAUGCAAAACAAAUGAUCCACAUUUUGGCUUURCAUUCACCUGGUAAGUUAAAUAUGACUGCACAAUCUGUUUUCAUUUCAAUAUUAUUCAAACACUGCAUUUUGGUCUAAGUGACUCACUUUUAAAAUUUAUUUAUUUCACCUUUAUU